This 285-nucleotide long non-coding RNA is filed under the name Helianthus annuus (common sunflower). RNAcentral describes it as "sRNA HanXRQr2_Chr04g0167741". Lineage: Eukaryota; Viridiplantae; Streptophyta; Magnoliopsida; Asterales; Asteraceae. The record is from RNAcentral.
UCUCCUUCGUCUCUAUCAUCACCCUCAAAACCCUAGCGGCGCAUAUGCAUCAUCUUCAGCAAAUCCACACAUGUUCUUCAGCAAAUCGACGAUGGUGAUUCUCAUGUUACCUUUUCACCACCGAUUUUGUAGAUUUGAGUUAUUUUUCUUCCGUGUUCAAUUUUGAAUCUCGCUUCGUGUUCUUCUGGUUCAGUCAUGUACGAUCCAUGGAUUCAAGCAUCAGAUUGCUCUAGCCACCGCCCCAUCAAUCAGGCUAGGGUUCCAACAGGUUGAUCUAGAGCCAGU